RNAcentral lists this long non-coding RNA (200 nucleotides) under Elaeis guineensis (African oil palm). RNAcentral describes it as "long non-coding RNA (EGUI_LNC060010)". The record is from RNAcentral. Lineage: Eukaryota; Viridiplantae; Streptophyta; Magnoliopsida; Arecales; Arecaceae.
CAAAUCUCUAAAAAUCUAAAAUAAUAAUUCAUGAAGGCUUGGAUGUGUAGAUCUUCUACUUCGCAUAUACGACAGAUGCCAUAAAAAAGUAGGAUGAACUCCGAUCAAAUCACCUUCACAAUCUAAUCAAACGAGGGAUGAGAGGUACUGGUGUGACACCUCACACUAGCAAGGAGGAUGCCCAUAAGAGGGUCCACGGC